Molecule: non-coding RNA, 198 nt
Organism: Oryza sativa (Asian cultivated rice)
Lineage: Eukaryota; Viridiplantae; Streptophyta; Magnoliopsida; Poales; Poaceae
Rfam family: Early nodulin 40
Source: Rfam
AUGGAAGAUGAAUGGCUUGAACAUGCACAUGGUUCUUGAGAGCAGCAGGAGGAGGAGGAUGAAGAGCAAUGGCUAAGCUCCAGUUCAAGAAGCUCUUCAACUCCAUGGUGCCUUUCCGGCCUCCUAGGUGGUCGGCUGAGGUACGCACCAAACCGGCAAGUCACAAAACGGCAAUGGUGAAACUCCAGCAGGAGUCCA